GUAGCUUAACCUUCGGGAGGGCGCUUACCACUUUGUGAUUCAUGACUGGGGUGAAGUCGUAACAAGGUAACCGUAGGGGAACCUGCGGUUGGAUCACCUCCUUACCUUAAAGAAGC
Molecule: ribosomal RNA, 116 nt
Filed under: Escherichia coli
Lineage: Bacteria; Pseudomonadati; Pseudomonadota; Gammaproteobacteria; Enterobacterales; Enterobacteriaceae
Also listed under: 6 other names
Description: partial 16S ribosomal RNA
Rfam family: Bacterial small subunit ribosomal RNA (bases 1-104)
Source: RNAcentral